Molecule: long non-coding RNA, 1175 nt
Filed under: Macaca mulatta (Rhesus monkey)
Lineage: Eukaryota; Metazoa; Chordata; Mammalia; Primates; Cercopithecidae
Description: lncRNA (ENSMMUG00000058600.1)
Source: RNAcentral
CUCUCUUCUGCAAAUCUGACAAGUUGGCAUCCGAGCAAAAUUUAAAUGAUCAGCUUAAGUAUCAGUUUCUUUUGUAAAUGGAACAAAAUCACAGAAGAUGAGUAGUGACUCAGCAAAGACGCAAUAUUGUCUUAUUAAGGAUAAUUUUUCUUGAUUCACAAUCUUCCACAAUUAGCAUGACCUACUUAGGAAAAUUCUUGCAAGAUGGUUGUAAACAUGUACUGAGGGCAGGUUUAUUUGCCUCAAAUUAUAUAUAUAAAAUUCUUCAGUCUUGUGUCAAACAGUGGUUUUAUACCUUUCCCUGUAGGUAGGGUCACAUGACUGCCAGUGCAGACCAAGCCACAGUCAAAUGUCUAAAACUAAUCUUGCCCCUUGGGCAAAAGAACUUGAAGAAUACAAAUCCGUAAUCAAAGGCCCCGUGAAUUGGCAACCUGAUUUACCCUUUGUUUUGCUGUCAGUGAUCUCUUUCCUAGAAAAUGAGAUUCUCCUCCGAAGCCCAGAUUAAAGACUAGUGCCCUCCAGAAGAUCUCGAGAUACUGCCUCUCUAGCUGAUUGUUCUCUCCUUCUGGGUUCCCACUGCUAUGUGCUCCUUCCUGCCCCAAACGCUAUGUGCAGUUUGAACAUCUUCCAAUUGCCCAUUGCCAAGAUUUUAAAAUCAUAUUAUAACUACUGAAAUUAGCAGUUAUAGGUAGCUUAUUUAUGUAUUCAUGCAUUCAUGUAUUAAUUCAUUCAUCUAUCAAUCUAUCCAUCUACUCAUAAAUUAAUUCAUGUACUCACCAAUUCAUUUAUCAAACAUUUAAAAUACAUCUGUAUGCCAGGAAUUGUGUUGGGACAUUGGAGAGCAUGAACUUGUUGACAGAUCAAAAAAAGUCUAGGAAGACCACAUCUUAAAUGUUUUCAAAGAUAGUAGCACCAUUAAGAAAAACAGACAAGAGGAGAAAUUGAUUUUAAAAAAAUAAUAAAAUCCAUUUGUAAUAUGAAGAGUUUAAAGUACCUCUAGAUUCUUAUUACUCAAAAUAUUGCUCGUGGACUAGGAGUACUGGCCUAAAUUGGGAGGGUUUAAAAUGCACACUCUAAAACCUUCCUCUCUUGACCUACUUAACCUAAAUCUGCAUUUCAAGAAUAUUCCCAGGUAAUUUUUAUGUACUUGAACGUUUCAGAGGGACUGUUUUUCC